Molecule: RNA transcript, 2016 nt
Organism: Triticum aestivum (bread wheat)
Lineage: Eukaryota; Viridiplantae; Streptophyta; Magnoliopsida; Poales; Poaceae
Exons: 3
Source: RefSeq, a predicted model, not a curated record
CCGCACGCAUUUGAACCCAACAAAUUAUCCACUGCCCCAAUGGCGCCCCUGCCUUUCUUCCCCACCGCUAUGCUCCCCUCUCCCCACGGACGCCUCCCAGCCUCUGCCGCCGCCCCGCGCGACGGACGCCAUCCCUCCCCUAUUUCCCUCUUCACCUCCACGGCCACGCCGCGUCGCCGCCCGAGCCCCACUGCGGUCGCUAUGAUCCGCCGCGCCGCCCCACACCCGAAGCUGCAGUCGAGAUGCAUCUGAGCGAGAACGAGGGGAUCGAGGGCGUGCGGUUCGCGGUGACUGGCGGGCAGGGCUUCGUCGGCGCCGCGCUAUGCCUAGAGUUGAUCCGCCGCGGCGCCCUGGAGGUCUGCUCUCUCGACGGCUCGACCUGCGCGAUUCCUCCUCUUGGUCCCAGUAGCUCCUCGAUGCCAGUGUCCGCUUCUUCCAAGGUUCUCUCCCUCACUCUCUUUUGCUUAAAUUACUGUGGUUUUUUUCUUCUGUCGCCAUGAGUGGGCGUGAGACUGCGUCGCAGGGAAGAAGGUAAUUUGUUUUUCUGUCCAAUGCAUUGAAGCUAUAAUGUACGUGCUUAGUAAAUUGUUUAGGGCGGUGUGAGACUUAUAAUGCCUGCCAAGUGCCAACUUAGUGAAUUGAUAAACCAGGAAUUUUGUGUUUUUUACUUGACUUGAUUUUGCACAAUUCAGUUAUGUGUCCACUGAAUGGAUUUGACAUGACAUUUCCUGCAGGCAAUGAGGGAAGUAGAUGGGCAUGGCUGAUCUGUUCGUCAUGCAGUUAUGUGCUAUCUUAUUCCUUGAUACUGAGUGUGAGCCCAUGCAUGUGCAAGCUAUAUGUACCCUUAAGCUAUUAGUGUUCUCUAACUUAUUUCCUACUAUUCCUGUAUGGUACCACUUUUUCCCUAGCAAGGAUAUGUGAGCCUAUUAACCUUAUGUUGUCUGUCAAUGUCAGAUUUAGAACCCAGCAAAGAAAUAUGGCAGAAAUUUGCAUAUUAACCUUUCUUGUGCAGGUUUGAGAUAUAAAUGUCACACAGAUGAUUCUUUGCCAUGAGUGUGUAAACUUAAUGAGGCAACAUGGUCUUCGGCACAAGAAAUACCCAUGGACGUGAGUGCGGGCUGCCGCUCCGGCCUCCACUCCUCUGCUUGACCACCGCUGCCACCACGUUGAGGCCCUCGCCACCAAGCGGCAUGCUUUCCCGGACAAAGGGCAGGUACACAAAUAGCUAAGAACACAAGGAGACGUGCAGGUCUGCGUUUCUGAGUUAUAUCUCUUUUAGCACCAGCGAUUAAAUGGUGUGUAGCUGGUCAGGCGUGCUUGCCUAAAAUGUACUUUAGUAGUUGCUAGAUCCAUGCUAGCUUCUAUGUUGUUCUUGCAGCCUCAGCUAGCUAAUUUUAUUUAAAGCAAAUGUUGUUCUAUCCUUCCAAUUACUGUUAUUCAGUUCUUCUUUUCUUUUUUCUGUUGUCGUUCACAGUACAAAUGUUAUGAGAAUUUCAUGAAUUUUGUCAUAUCUUUCUCCCAGUUACCUUAAUUUUGUAAAUUGUGGUCUAAUUCAAUUUUGAGUUUGUUUUCAGAAAAGCCUACUUUAAAGCUGUGUAAAUCCAUUAUUUCCUUUGAGUUUGCCAUGGAGGUGAGUUGGGAACCUUUUUUAUACUUGGUGGAUGCACUGAUGUAGUGACGGAGACUUGCCUGAAUGUUGUUUUCCUCAGCGCGAAGUGCUUACAAUUCUCAAAGGCGUCAACAAGUCCAGGAGGAGAUUGACAAGGAAUUCUUGUUGUAAAGAGCGAAGGCAUGGUUUGGUUUGCAUGACAUUAUCUUCAAUUGGCUGGAGAUAUAUAAAUGUUGAUACUUGAUUUUCUCACCUGGCAUUUUAUCACUUCUGUGAAAGACACUCCAUUUUCUCAUAGUAAUAGUUCGUUAAUAUUGUUGAUACAUAAAUGGAUCUUUAUUGAAUCGUACUUGUAUGUGUGUAUGGAGAAUGGUGAUUAACCUUUUAAAUAAUCUAUUAUCCAACAA